Molecule: long non-coding RNA, 7835 nt
Organism: Equus caballus (horse)
Lineage: Eukaryota; Metazoa; Chordata; Mammalia; Perissodactyla; Equidae
Source: RefSeq, a predicted model, not a curated record
UACCUGGCGGUUCCCAGGUGACGAGGACCCCGCUUCUGUUGCUUCCCGCCUGAUCUUCCGGACGUGAUGGUGUCUCUGCCUCCUCACAGAAUCCUUCCUGUAGUUGAAAUCUGGUUUUCUCUGAGUCCUCUGCAGCGCUUGAAUGCCUGUUAGGCCGCAAGCCCAGCUGGGCUAGGGCAGGGGGAUAUCACGCCGAGAGACCGAAGAAACAACCGGAGACUGCGAGCGAGGCGUAUGGGUUUAUUGGGCCCUACAUACUGGAGCGAGUGCAGCGGCCACCGGCUGGAUGGAAGAACGCGUCCGCCCGGAACCGGCGGAGAGAAGCUUGCGUAAGUAGGCAGAGGAACCAAGCUGCACACUGGCCAAAGGGCUGUCCUUGGUACGACCAGCGUUCCCAGAACAGUAGCUCACAUGGAGGGCCCUGCGUCCCUGUAAGGCGUGCUGUUAUUCUUGUGGGGUUAGGGAGGGUCCGGGCUGGCCGGGCCCAGAUUGUCAGAAAUCCCCGCAGCUGGGCGGCCUGCCCAGAAGGGGCCAGAAGGACACAUGGUUGCAACGGGCCCGGGGGUUUCUGCUGAGCAAGCAAGGCCCAGGCCCUACAAAGCCCCAAUCCCAUUUUGAAAGCAGAUGUUUCCUUUAUGCUUAAACCUCUUUACUACAAGCUGAAAUGAAUGCUUGUUUAUUGGUACAAUAUGAAACCAUAAGAUUAAAGUGUAAAAUUCUUGACUUGGUUAUUUGGUAAUGUUUACUAGAUAAUAGAACUUUCUUAUAUGUUCAACUUAAGAGCUAGACGGACUGUGAAUAUCUGUGCUGCUUGAUAUACCUAUGCUAUUAUUACCAGUGUCAGUAGAAUGCAUAUUUUCAACUACAUGUCCAUGUUAAAUUCUCAUAUUUGUAAGGAACGUGUGUCUAAAUUAUUGCGAUUAUUAGCACCAAAUCUCAAACUUUUUUUUGCAUUAUAAAAUAUAUAAUCUAAGAUUUGUGAUGCAAACAUAUUUCUAGAUAUGUGAUCUACAAAGAGAUCUUUGGGAAACUUUGAUAGGAUCUUUAAAAAAUUGUGAAAUAUAAUACAUAUUUGAAAAAGUGCCUAAAAUAAAUAUGAAUGUACAGUUUGUUUAUAAUGCUGAGUGCCAUGUAAAUACCACCCAGAUCAAGAAAUAAGACUUCAUCUACACCUGGAAGCCGCCACGUGCUUGUGCCUGGUCAUAAUUUUUUCUCAGUUCCCUAGAGUUCAUCAUUAUUCUGACUUUCAUCAUUUCCUCCCUUUUCUUUAUAGUUUUCCACCUCUAAAUGCAUCUUUAAACAAUAUAGUUUUUCCUAUUUUUGAACUUUAAAUGAAUAGAAUCAUGGUGUGUGUAUUCGCUUGUAUCUUGCUUUCUGCUUACUUUUGGAAAAUUAAUCUGUGUUGUUAUGUAUAGCUCUCCUUCAUUAAAUGUCAUGGCUGUGUAGUAUUUCAUUGUCUAAAAAUCCAUGUAGAUGGACGUUUAGGCAUUUGUAGCUUUUGGCCAUUAGGAACAUUGCUGCUAUAUUUAUACCUAGAUCCUGGUAUACAUGUGCAAGAAUUUCUAUUAAGAGUAGAAUUGCUGUGUGGAAUGAAAAUAUCCGUAUCUUCAACUGCAAUAAAUAAAAGUAAAAGCAACCACUGCUUAUAAAGCAAUUAUACCCCUUUUUAUGAAGUCCCGCCCAGAAUGUGAGACUUCCCUUGCUCCACAUCUACGCCAACAUUGGUUAUUGUCAGCUGUUAACACCGUGUGUGAAGCUAGCGGGUGUGUGGUGAGGUUUUAAUUUGCACUUUCCUUACUAAUUAGUUUGAACACCUUGUUAUAUGUUUAUUGGCUACUUGAAUUUCCUCUUUUUGUGGAUGACCUAUUCAAAACUUUUGCCCAUUUUUUUACCAGUCUGUCUUCUUAAAUCAUUUUGUAGAAUUUCUCUAUUUUGGGUACUACUCGGUUAUACGUAUGGAAAAUAUUUUCUUUCAUUUUAUGGUUUGUCUCUUCACCCUUUUAAGAGUGUCUGUGAUGAACAGAAGUUAUUAAUUUUAAUGUACUCCAAUACAUCAAAAGUUUCCUUUAGGGAUUAGUGUACCUGUGACUUGAUCAUGAAGUUAUUUAUGUAUAUUAAAUACUAAAAGCUUAUACAUUUGCAUUUCACAUCCACCUGUCUUUUCCCUAAUACUACACUAAUCAUUGUAACUUUAUAUCGUUUUGAUAUCUGACAGAGCAAGUUCUUGUUCUUUUUCAAGCUCGUCUUGGCUAUUCUUGGUCCUUUGUAUUUCCAUAUAUGUUUUAGAAACAGCUUAUCAAGUUCAGCAACAAUAACAACAAAAACCCAUUGCAUAUUGAGUGGAGUUGGGGAAGAUUUGACAUCUUUACAAUAUUUAGUCCUUCUAUCUAUGAACAUGGUAUACAUAUGCAUUUAUUGAAGAUUUCUUUAAUGUUUCUCAGGCAAGUUUUAUAAUUUACCCCACAGAGAUGUGGUGUAUCUUGUGUUAUAUUGAUUCCUAGGUACUUGACUUUAUUUGAUGCUGUUAUAGUGUUAAUCUAAGUCCAUUUUGUAACUGAUUUGCUUAUACGUAAAAAUGAAAUUGAUUUUAGAAACUACCAAACUGUUCUCCAAUGUGGCUUCACCAUUUUGUAUACCCACUAGGAAUAUAUGAGAAUCCCAAUUGUUCUUCAUCCUUGUUAGCACUUGGAAUUGUCAGUAUUUUUUGUUUUAGCUUUUACAAUAUGUAUGUAAUAGGUGUGGUAGUGGUAUCUUUUCAUGACUUUAGUAUUCAUUUCCCUAAUGGUUAAUGAUGUUGAAUAUCUUUUCAUGUGCUUAGUUGCCAUUUGUAUGUCUUCUGUGGUGAAAUGCCCAAGUUCUUGCCCACUUUUAAAUUGCGUUAUUUGUUUAUGUAUUGUUGAGUUUUAAGAGUUCUUUAUACAUUCUGGAUACAAGUCCAUUGUUGGAUAUGUGAUUUGCAAAUAUUUUCUUUGCAUAUGUAGCUUGCUUUCAUUCUCUUGAAAGUGCUUUUGGCAAAGAAAAUGUGUUUAAUUUAGAUGAAGUCAAAUUUAUCAAUAUUUUCUUAUGGAUCAUACUUUUGGUGUCAUUUCUAAGAACUCUGCCCAGUUCGUGAAGAUGUUCUCUUGUGUUUUCUUCUAAAAGUUUUAUAAUUCUACAUUUUACAUUUAAGUUUAUGAUCCACUCUGAGUUAAUUAUUGUAUAAGGUACGAGGUUUAGGUCAAGGUUCUUUUUUUUCUUUGCAUAUGGAUGACCGCUUGUUCUAACACUGUUUGUUGAAAAGACCGUCUUCCACUGAAUCACUUUUACACCUUUGUCAAAAAUCAAAUAGCUAUAUUUUUGUGGGUUUUUUCCUGGACUCUAUUUUGUUCCAUUGAUCUAUUUGUUUAUCUUUUUGCCAACAUCACACUAUCUUGAUUACUAUAGCAUUACAAUAAGUCUUAAAAUCAGGUAGUUUGAUUCCUCCAACUUUGCCUUCUUUUUCAAAAUUAAGCUCUAGUUUCUUUACUCUUUCAUAUACAUAAUCUUGUUUAUGUCCACAAAAAAUACUGUUGGGAUUUUGGUCGGAACAGUAUUAAAUCUAUAGAUCACUUUGGGGAGUUUUACAUCUUUACUAGGUUGCAUUUUCCAAUCCAUGAACACAGUGUCUUUCCAUCUAAGUCUUCCUUGAGUUCUGUUGUUAGCAUUUUUAGUUUUCAGCAUACAGAUCCUAUGCAUGCUUUGUUAUAUUUCUACAUAAGAAUUUCAUUUUUUGGAUCAGGCCAUGCUGAGGCGGGGUCCCACAUAGCACAACCAGAAGGACCUGCAACUGGAAUGUACAGUGAUGUACUGUGUGGCUUUGGGAAGAAGAAGAAAAAAAAAAGGUUGCCAGUACUAUGUUGAAAAGUAUCAGUGGGAGAGGACAUCAUUGCUUUGUGCCUAAUUUCAGGGGGAAACCAUUCAGUCUCUCACCACUAAGUAUGUUGUGAUAGCUGUAGAUUUUUUGUAAAUGCCCUUUAUUAGGUUAAGGGAGUUCUAUUCAUAGUUUGCUUAGAUUUUUUUAAAAAAUCAGGAAUGAUGUUAGAUCUUGUCAAAUUAUCUUUCUGUGUCUAUUGAGAGGAUAAGAUGGUUUUUCUGAUUUAUUAAUAUGGUGAAUUAUAUUACUUUUUUUCCUACAGAUAGUGAACUAGUCUUGCAUUCUGGGAUGACACCCACUUGAUCAUGAUAUCUUUUUAUAUUUUUCCAGAUACAAUUUGCUAAUGUUUUAUUGAGGAUUUUUGCAUCCAUGUUAUAAGGGAUAUUGGCCUGUUGUUUUAUUUUCUUGUAACCUCCUUGUCUGGUUUUGGUAUUAGGGAAAUACCUUAUAAAAGGAGUUGUGAGGUGUUCCUUCCUCUUCUUUUUCUUCAACAGACGGUGUAGAUAUUAGUAUGUAUUAUUUCUUCCUUAAGUGUUAGUAAAAUCUGUCAGUGAAAUCAUCUGUUCCAUUGAGUUUUCUUUUGUGGAAGGUUUAUUUUUUAAGAUAAAAGUUGAUAAGGUUUAUCGAUUUCUUCUUGGGUGAGUUCUGGUAGUUUGUAUCUUUUAAGGAAUUGAUCCAUUUAAUCUAACUUACUGAACUCAUGGGCAUAGAUUUGUUCAUAGCGUUCCCUUCUUGUCCCUUUAAUGUCUGUGGGAUCAGUAAUGAUGUCUUCUCUUUCAUUCAUUAUAUUGGUUAUUUAUGUCUAUUCUUUUUAUUUCCUGGUCAGCUUAGUUAGAGGUCUAUCCAUAUUAUCUAUCAAUCUUUUCGAAGAGCCACCUUUUUAUUUCAUUGAUUUCUGCUCUAAUCAUUUCCUUCUGUAUUUUGUUUGCUUUAGGUUUGCUGUGAUCUUUUUUCUAGUUGACUAAGGUCAGAGUUUAGGUUCCUGAUUUUAGAUCUUUCUUGUUUGUUAGUAUAUGCAUUCAACGCUAUAAAUUUCCACGAAGAACUGCUCUCUGUCUCCUACAAAUUUUAUGUUGCAUUUUAACUUUUAUUUGGUUAAAAAUAUUUUAAAAUUUCCUUUGAGAGUUCCUCAUUGACCCCAAGGUUAUUUAAAAGUACAUUAAUUUCCAAAUAUUUGGAUACUUUCCAGGUAUCUUUCUAGUUUAGUUCUAUUUUAGUCUGAAAAUCUUUGUAUCAUUUUUACUCUCUUACAUUUGGUCAGGUUUGCUUUAUGGCCCAGAAUACUGUCUGUCUUGGUGAAUGUUCCAUGUACACUUAAUGAGACCUGUAUUUCACUGUUGUUGGUUGGAGCAUUUUAUACAUACCCAUUAGGUUAGGUUGAUUGACUGUGCUUUUCAUUGCUAAGCCUUCUGAUUUUCUGCCUACUUUUUCUGUCAGUCACUGUAGAAGAGUAUUGCCACUUCCAACCUAAAUUGUGGGUGUGUCUAUUUCUCCUUACAGGUCUGUUUUUGCUUUAUGUAGUUUAUACGCAUUUAGGAUUUUUAUGUCAAGAAGAGCAGAGUGAUCUUGGGUGAGUCUGCUCUGUUCAGUUGAGACAAUCUCCAAAGGGGGAUGACAGCUGAUUACUGAAGGCACUCCCAGAAAUUAGGAGAAAUCCUUUAUUCCUGAAGGAGGAUCUGGACACUGCAUCACAGCAUCUACCAGAGGAGUAAUCAGGUUUUCUAUUUGAGUGUUUUAAUGAUGUUUUCAUAGGAAUUGGUCUAUUUUGUUAAACUUUCAAAUUCAUUGGUAUUAAAAUUAACGUCUUCCAGUUUUUGUUUUAUAUAUACAUUAUCUGUAGUUCUCUCUCCUUUUUCGUUUCUGGUAUUGGUUAUUUGUGCUUGUUUUCUUUUUCUUGAUAGAGGCUCUUGGGGCAGCUGGCAGCCAUUUAAGUGAUUAACUUGGGGGUACACAGGCCUAGUCUUCUUACCCUAACUUGAGACAGGUUAGGAGAUAGGAGAGGUCAUUCUAUCUCAAAAUUCAACAUAGGGUUGUAUGAGGCAUUCCACUGAGAAUGGAUCACAACUCAAUUUCUCUCCCUGCCCAAUAUUCCUUCCUUCCCUUCUUCUAUGCUGGUGUUGAUCAACAGCACUCCGUAAUCUAUUAUCUGUUUUAUUAGUCUUUAAAGAUAAACACUAAUAAAGACUCCAUCGCCUGGCCAGGGGACAUAAAGCCAGGCUGCAAGUCAUCACAAAGGCUGCUUAACUUUCAGGUCACCUUCACCCUGAGGAGUUAGCCCUUAAGUAUCCUAGCUUAAUACUUGGUGUACCAUCAGGGUCUGCCGGACACAAUUCAAGUUUUUGAGUUUCUUUUUUGAGUAGUUCUAGCUAUUUGUAAGGAUUAAUAUGUCCUGACUUUUAUUAUUUCUUAGAGGUCUUCUAAAGAACAAAAGGAAAAUUAUUUUUUAAAAUAUGGAAUAAAACUCAUUCUCUCUUGCAAUUACCAUAUGUAUCCACUGGACCCUUGUAUAAAUCUAAGAUUUAUUAUGUAAUCUUAUCGAUCUUAUUUUUCCUAUAUUUUGAAACAUUUUGCUGUAGCAUUUCUCUCCAUGAAAACGCUAUGAAGCCAAGAUCCUUUUCCUUUUAGUAACCACAGCCCGAGUAGAGAUGCUCUUCACAGACUUGUAAAGAUGCUCAAUAAUCUGAGGGUGCAUCUCUAGGUAUCUCUACCCAUAAUAGGGCCCUAUCUUUCCUUACUAAGAGUGGGAAUGGUAAGGAAAGUAUGUUUAAAAGUUGUAACCUUUAAUUUUGAGGCCUUCUAGGAGUGAGAAACUAUUUUGGGAAUUAAGUUUCGGAAAAUACAUAAAGAUUUUUGGGUGGUAGAUGGAGAAAUAUAAAAGGCUAGUCCAAAUAAAUGGUGUCUUACCAACAAUGUAUUUAUAGUAUUUACAAAUACCAUAAUUUUUAUCUUCAAAGUUAAGUCUUAAUUAGUCCUCCUUGUUCCCCAAAGAAGGAGGAUUAUAGAAGUAUAGAUCAGUGGAAGAGAGUCAGAAAAUGUUAAGUUACUGUUGUCACUGCAGUGGGAAAUGGGAGGGAAGAAAAGAACCAGCACUUAAUCAAGCACCUUCUGUGUACACGUAGCUAUUUAAGACUCAAAACAUCCUUAAAGGAAGGUAUCACUCACGGUACUUCUUUUACAGAUGAAGAAACCAAAGCUCAAAGAAGGAAAGUGACUAAAAGUAACAAAAUGGGAGGGUUAGGCUUUGAAUCCAGAUUUGUCUGAUGUCAAAGUCUUGUGCUUUUUCCACUAAAAUAUUCAAAAUUAAUAUAAAGGUCUUUCUAUUUCAUUCUCAAUGUUGUGACAUAUUUUUCACCUGUUGCCCCUUAAUAAAUGACAUCAAUGUUGCAUUUGGAGGUAGUAUCAAGAUGCAGAAACAUAGUAUAAUACCACUAAUUGUAUUUUCAAUUGUCAUUAACGUUUUAUUUGCCUAUAGCACUACUCCUCGAAGACCCUGACUCCAAGUGAGUUUUAAAACUCAUGCUAUUGUCAGCUGAGAGACACUAACCCUAACUAUCUUUAGGAACAGUGUGGAACAGGGCCCGGCACAGUGCGCGGGUGGAUAACUGUGUAGUGAGUCUAAGCGCGGUGGUCAGGAAUCUUGCCCUGCUCACAAGGAGGCAACGGCAAGUCACUUUACUUGUCUCACAGUCCAGAGAAGUGACUUAGACCUUGGAUUCUCUAAGGCCUCUUCAUGCUCCAAAAUAACGAUUUACAGACUCACCGGAAUACCUGGUUCCAAUACAGAGUAUUUAUUCAGAAGACAUAUUAACAUGCUCAGAUACACAGAGUAAACCACUUAUACACGCCAUUCUCAGCGAACUGUAAAGAAAAACUAACAUGAACAACAAGAUUAAAUGUUCUCUGAGAAGUUUUUGUAGUUUAUAGCUAUCACAUGCCAUUUGCA